GCAGUAAUAGGUCUAUUUCUGCAGUAAGGACUGCUUCCCUGUGGAAUUCCACUGGGAAGAUAAAUGAAAAGAUCCCUGAGUAAUAGUGCCAUAUUUCAAUGGUUCUGGGAAAACAACAAAAUCAAAAUAUAUUAUAUGCUUGCCCCAUGGAAUUUGUGUUCCCAGAAGUAUACAGAUGAAGAAAAUAAUUUUAAGAGUAAGAAUUGCAAAGAGGGAAAUGAACCAGGUGAUCCAAUAGAAUAGUAAGAAAGACUUCACAUUUUGUAUAUAGUUGUCAAUUAAAGCUGUACUGAGAAGAGCUGAAUGUUGUGAAGAAGCCAGACAACGAGAUGAGAAGCUCCUGGGAUGAGUGACCAUCAGGCCAUCUGCAAAUUAACUGAGUGAAUUACCCUCGCCUGGCUUCUGCCUCAUCUGUUCCAUACCAAAUUAUAUCUACACGGUUCCUGCUGUCACAUACCUGCCUCAGGCAAAGCCUCCUGUUUGGAUUUUUCAUUCUUGUAUUUAUGGUUACCAUGAGCCUUGAG
Molecule: long non-coding RNA, 524 nt
Organism: Callithrix jacchus (white-tufted-ear marmoset)
Lineage: Eukaryota; Metazoa; Chordata; Mammalia; Primates; Cebidae
Source: RefSeq, a predicted model, not a curated record